RNA transcript from Glycine soja, 3993 nucleotides. It is a transcript of the gene named receptor-like protein 14, with no coding region annotated. The transcript is spliced from 12 exons. The record is from RefSeq and is a predicted model, not a curated record. NCBI's taxonomy places the organism in Eukaryota, Viridiplantae, Streptophyta, Magnoliopsida, Fabales, Fabaceae.
CUAUAGCGAGUUAGUGUUAAUUUUGUUAUUUAAAGGAGACCAAAUCGAUUGUGUUACGUACAGAUCGAAUAUGAUUAUGAAUAGGAAAAUGAAGAGUACUGUAGGCGUGUGUUUGUUGUUUUUGGUUUUGUUGGAAGCGAUGUGCUGUGAAGGGUGUUGGAAGGAAGAGAGAGAUGCUCUUUUGGUCCUAAAUUCCCGUUUUGACUUCCCUCUCUCUUGGGACGGCCCAUACUGUUGUCAAUGGGAACGAGUGGAGUGCAACUCCACCACUGGGAGAGUGGCCCAACUCGAUUUGCUGUCUCUGUGGUGGUUACGGCCUUUCAAUAUUAAUUACUCAGAUUUUGUUGUCUUCAAAGAUUUGAAGAACCUGGACUUGUCAUUGAAUGGCAUAUCCGGUUGUGUAGGGAAUGAAGCGCGGCUGGAAAGUCUGGAAGUCCUUGACAUAAGUAGAAACUAUUUGGAUGAUGCUGGCAUUCUAUCUUGUUUGGAUGGGCUUUCAUCUCUUAAGUCUCUAUAUUUAAGAGAUAUCGGGUUGAAUACAUCUUCAUUCCACGUUUUUGAAACUCUAUCUUCAAAGUUGCGUUAUCUGGAAGUCCUUGACGUAAGUGGCAACUAUUUGGAUGAUGCUGGCAUUCUAUCUUGUUUGGAUGGGCUUUCAUCUCUUAAGUCUCUAUAUUUAGCAGAUAACAAGUUGAAUACAUCUUCAUUCCACGUUUUUGAAACUCUAUCUUCAAAGUUGCGUAAUCUGGAGGUCCUUGACAUAAGUUUCAACUAUUUGACUAAUGACAUCCUGCCAUCCCUCGGGGGAUUUACAUCUUUGAAAAGGCUGUAUUUGGCUGGAAUUCAUUUGGACUCAGAUCUUCAUUUCCAAGAGAACGGUGGAUUUACGUGGCCAACCGGUUUACAAGAACUUGAUCUGCGGGAAAACAGAUUAAAUAACAAGUUUCUUCCAUCAUUAAAUGGGUUAGAAUGUCUCAAAUAUCUUGGUUUAAGAUGGAAUCAGUUAGAAGGAUCGCUGAAUAUAAGCGAAUUGUCACGUUUGACUAGCUUGAAGACUCUUGAUCUAAGUUAUAAUAAUAUUAGUGAUUUUGUGGUCCAUCAAGGGAACGGUGGAUUUACGUGGCCAACCGGUUUACAAGCCCUUGAUCUGCGGGAAAACAGAUUAAAUAACAAGUUUCUUCCAUCAUUAAAUGGGUUAGAAUGUCUCAAAUAUCUUGGUUUAAGCAGCAAUCAGUUAGAAGGAUCGCUGAAUAUAAGCGGAUUAUCCGGUUUGACUAGCUUGGAGAUUCUUGAUCUAAGUUAUAAUAAUAUUAGUGAUUUUGUGGUCCAUCAAGGCUUAAAAAGUCUACGCAGAUUGGAUGCUCUUCAUUUAUAUGGGAAUAUGAUAGAUGGAAGCAAGCUAAGAAAGUCGUUGCGAGCUUUUUCAUCUGUUAGGAUGCUUUCAAUGGGAGAAAAUGAAUUUAAAGGAACAAUUGUUGCUGGAGAUUUUCAGGAUUUAAGUAACCUAGAAGAGUUGACAAUGGACCUCAGUAAUAACAUGGAGAAUGAGUUUUUCAAAAGUAUUGGGAAAUUGACAUCUUUAAAAGUUCUGUCUCUUUAUUAUUGUAAUAUAAAUGGCACCCUUCCUCAUGCGGAUUGGUCUAAGCUAAAGAAGUUAGAGUUGUUAGAUCUAUCCGGCAACAAAUUUGAGGGACCACUUCCUUCGUCUUUUGUUAACAUGACGUCUCUCCAGAAGUUGGAAAUAUCUUAUAAUCACUUCAUUGGAAAUUUCGAUUCUAACAUUGCAAGCCUUACAUCACUUGAAUAUUUUGGUUUUAUAGAAAACCAAUUUGAAGUUCCUGUUUCUUUCACACCAUUUGCCAAUCAUUCAAAGAUCAAGUUCAUCCAUGGUGAAGGAAACAAAGUCUCAUUGGACUCACAACAUAGUUUUCCAACUUGGAUUCCAAAAUUUCAGUUACAAGAGCUUAUUGUGUCUUCGACAACUAAAACUAUGUUUCUUCCACUCCCAAAUUUUCUCCUUUACCAAAAUAGUUUAAUCAGACUAGAUUUCAGUAGUUGGAAGUUGGAAGGAGACUUUCCUCAUUGGUUGUUGGAAAACAACACAAAAAUGACCCAUGUUCUGUUUAGAAAUUGCUCUUUCACUGGUACUUUCCAGCUACCCAUGCGUCCCCUUCCUAACAUAUGGGAAAUUGAUGUUUCUGACAAUAUCAUAGUUGGCCAAAUCCCUAGCAACAAUUUCAGUUCAAUUUAUCCAAAUUUGCAUUUUCUUAACUUGUCUAGAAACAACAUCCAAGGUUCAAUCCCUCAUGAGUUAGGCCAAAUGAACUCAUUAUAUUCAUUGGAUCUUUCUGGCAAUCAAUUGUCUGGAGAGAUACCAAAGGACAUAUUUGGAGUUGGUCACCAACUCAGGUUCUUGAAACUAUCAAACAAUAAGCUUGAGGGACCUAUUUUGAAUAUCCCUAAUGGUUUGGAGACCUUGUUAUUGAACCAUAAUAGAUUUACCGGUAGACUCCCAAGCAACAUUUUUAACGCAUCCAUCAUUUCAUUGGAUGUAAAGAAUAAUCAUUUGGUGGGAAAGAUUCCAAGCCUUAUAAAAAACUUGUCAGGAUUGUACGAAAUUUGUUUGUCUAAUAACCAUUUUGAAGGAUCCAUUCCAUUAGAACUUGGAGAACUUGAAGAUUUAACUUCUGUAGAUCUCUCCCAAAAUAAUUUUAUUGGUCUUGUUCCAUCAUUUGCAAAUUCUUCCGUGGCAUUUAUCCAUUUGAACAACAAUCGUUUAAGUGGAUUGCCCAAAAGAAUGUUCCAUGGAAAAUCUUCUUUAGUGAUGUUAGACCUUAGCUACAAUGAAAUAUCUAACAACCUUCAAGAUCUGAUACAUAACCUUAGUUAUAAAAGGUUAAAUUUUCUCCUUUUAAAAGGUAAUCACUUUAUGGGGGAUAUACCAAAGCAGAUAUGCCAGUUGAUAGAUUUAAACAUGCUAGACCUUUCUCAUAACAAUUUUUCUGGUGUUAUCCCCAAAUGCUUAGGUAAAAUGCCUUUUGAGAAUAAGUACCUGAAGAGCUUGUUAGCAAGAUUUUCUACCUUUGAUCCAGAUCCCAAUAACCUUGCCCAAUCUCCGGACCUUGCCCAAUCUCCAACACCGGUAUCGGGACCAACUCUAAAUUUGCAAGAGAAAGCAAAUUUCACUACAAAGGAAAGAACUGACACUUACAUCGGGAGAGUCCUUUUUUAUAUGUCUGGAAUUGACUUAUCUCACAAUAAACUGAAGGGAAAUAUCCCAUUUGAGCUUGGAUACUUGACAAAAAUUCGAGCAUUGAACUUAUCCCACAAUGAUUUAACUGGGAAAAUUCCAGUUACAUUCUCCUUGUUGGCACAAACAGAGAGUUUGGAUCUUUCUUUUAACAUGUUAAACAGUCAAAUUCCUCCUCAACUGAGCAUGUUAACAUCACUUGAAGUAUUUAGUGUGGCACACAAUAACUUAUCAGGUCCAACACCUGAUUUUAAAGGACAAUUUUCCACAUUUGAUGAAAGCAGCUAUGAGGGUAAUCCGUUCCUUUGUGGUCCUCCACUGCCAAAGAGUUGCAAUCCUCCACCUACUAUUAUACCAAAUGACUCAAACACUGAUGGAGACAAUGAUAGUUUGUUGGAUAUGUAUGUUUUCUGUGUGAGCUUUGCCGUGUCAUACAUAUCAACAUUGUUGGUAACUGCAGCAGCUUUAUACAUCAAUCCUUACUGGAGGCAGGCAUGGUUUUACUACAUGGAAUUGGUGAGCAUGAAUUGCUACUACUUUAUCAAGGAUAAUCUGAGCAAGGUUUUCAAAAUUGGAAAUAUGUAAUAUAUCAAGUUGUAUGUCUAGAAUGAUUUCCAUGUGUUUUUGCUAAGUUUGAUAGAAUAAAGGUUAUGUAUAAGUUGUAUGAAAAUAAUAUGCUUCGUAUAUGAUAUUAAUACUAUGUUAAUUAUUGAUACCGACUCAAGGAUUGAGUCAUUUUUCAA